Molecule: ribosomal RNA, 1372 nt
Filed under: uncultured bacterium
Lineage: Bacteria
Description: bacterial SSU rRNA
Rfam family: Bacterial small subunit ribosomal RNA
Source: RNAcentral
GAUGAACGCUGGCGGCGUGCCUAAUACAUGCAAGUCGAGCGAACGGACGAGAAGCUUGCUUCUCUGAUGUUAGCGGCGGACGGGUGAGUAACACGUGGAUAACCUACCUAUAAGACUGGGAUAACUUCGGGAAACCGGAGCUAAUACCGGAUGAUAUUUUGAACCGCAUGGUUCAAAAGUGAAAGACGGUCUUGCUGUCACUUAUAGAUGGAUCCGCGCUGCAUUAGCUAGUUGGUAAGGUAACGGCUUACCAAGGCAACGAUGCAUAGCCGACCUGAGAGAGUGAUCGGCCACACUGGAACUGAGACACGGUCCAGACUCCUACGGGAGGCAGCAGUAGGGAAUCUUCCGCAAUGGGCGAAAGCCUGACGGAGCAACGCCGCGUGAGUGAUGAAGGUCUUCGGAUCGUAAAACUCUGUUAUUAGGGAAGAACAUAUGUGUAAGUAACUGUGCACAUCUUGACGGUACCUAAUCAGAAAGCCACGGCUAACUACGUGCCAGCAGCCGCGGUAAUACGUAGGUGGCAAGCGUUAUCCGGAAUUAUUGGGCGUAAAGCGCGCGUAGGCGGUUUUUUAAGUCUGAUGUGAAAGCCCACGGCUCAACCGUGGAGGGUCAUUGGAAACUGGAAAACUUGAGUGCAGAAGAGGAAAGUGGAAUUCCAUGUGUAGCGGUGAAAUGCGCAGAGAUAUGGAGGAACACCAGUGGCGAAGGCGACUUUCUGGUCUGUAACUGACGCUGAUGUGCGAAAGCGUGGGGAUCAAACAGGAUUAGAUACCCUGGUAGUCCACGCCGUAAACGAUGAGUGCUAAGUGUUAGGGGGUUUCCGCCCCUUAGUGCUGCAGCUAACGCAUUAAGCACUCCGCCUGGGGAGUACGACCGCAAGGUUGAAACUCAAAGGAAUUGACGGGGACCCGCACAAGCGGUGGAGCAUGUGGUUUAAUUCGAAGCAACGCGAAGAACCUUACCAAAUCUUGACAUCCUUUGACAACUCUAGAGAUAGAGCCUUCCCCUUCGGGGGACAAAGUGACAGGUGGUGCAUGGUUGUCGUCAGCUCGUGUCGUGAGAUGUUGGGUUAAGUCCCGCAACGAGCGCAACCCUUAAGCUUAGUUGCCAUCAUUAAGUUGGGCACUCUAAGUUGACUGCCGGUGACAAACCGGAGGAAGGUGGGGAUGACGUCAAAUCAUCAUGCCCCUUAUGAUUUGGGCUACACACGUGCUACAAUGGACAAUACAAAGGGCAGCGAAACCGCGAGGUCAAGCAAAUCCCAUAAAGUUGUUCUCAGUUCGGAUUGUAGUCUGCAACUCGACUACAUGAAGCUGGAAUCGCUAGUAAUCGUAGAUCAGCAUGCUACGGUGAAUACGUUCCCGGGUCU